RNAcentral lists this microRNA precursor (101 nucleotides) under Marmota monax (woodchuck). Lineage: Eukaryota; Metazoa; Chordata; Mammalia; Rodentia; Sciuridae. The record is from RNAcentral.
AGUGGAAUUGCUGGGUCAUAAGUAUAAAUUUAUUUUAAUUUGUAAGGAAUUUGGAAACCACUUUCAAAGUAGCUGUACUAUUGUACAUUCCCACUAGCAGU